AUACUUACCUGGCAUGAUCAGAGAGGUGGUAUUCCCAGGGUGAGGCUUAUCCGUUGCAUUCUAGAUGUGUUGACCCCUGCAAGAUCCCCAAAUGCAGGAAGCUCAACUGCUGCAUAAUUUGUGGUAGUGGAGGACUGAAUGAUGUUUUCCUUGA
RNAcentral lists this small nuclear RNA (154 nucleotides) under Microtus ochrogaster (prairie vole). RNAcentral describes it as "U1 spliceosomal RNA (ENSMOCG00000005596.1)". It matches the Rfam family "U1 spliceosomal RNA". Rfam says of the family: U1 is a small nuclear RNA (snRNA) component of the spliceosome (involved in pre-mRNA splicing). Its 5' end forms complementary base pairs with the 5' splice junction, thus defining the 5' donor site of an intron. Lineage: Eukaryota; Metazoa; Chordata; Mammalia; Rodentia; Cricetidae. The record is from RNAcentral.